GCCGGGGUUGCAGAGAGGCACUGCGCCGGCCUUGAGAGCCGGUGCCCGUUUCGGGCUCCUGGGUUCAAGUCCCAGCCCCGGCG
Transfer RNA from Geoglobus ahangari, 83 nucleotides. It matches the Rfam family "tRNA". Rfam says of the family: Transfer RNA (tRNA) molecules are approximately 80 nucleotides in length. Their secondary structure includes four short double-helical elements and three loops (D, anti-codon, and T loops). NCBI's taxonomy places the organism in Archaea, Methanobacteriati, Methanobacteriota, Archaeoglobi, Archaeoglobales, Archaeoglobaceae. The record is from Rfam.